GAGUUAAUGAUCAAGUUGCCAGAAAGACAAUAGGACCCUAACCAUAGUGAUUAAUAAUUACUUAGGAGAAAUGUUUUGUUCUCUUAUUUCCAAAAUGUUCACAGACCUGAAAUCCUAUAUAGUUUAACAUGCAUAGCAGUCAUUAAUUGUUGGUGUUUCUUUUUUUUUUCAAUUUGA
This is a long non-coding RNA of Perognathus longimembris pacificus (Pacific pocket mouse), 177 nucleotides long. RefSeq lists it as uncharacterized. The record is from RefSeq and is a predicted model, not a curated record. Lineage: Eukaryota; Metazoa; Chordata; Mammalia; Rodentia; Heteromyidae. The transcript is spliced from 3 exons.